AGGAAAAAAGUUCUUAUAAGGUUACGGCUUUGUCAUACUUUAAAGCCAGGCAUGACUUAAAAAUCUACCAAAAAAGAUUGUUUUGAUAUUCCGAAGCCUUCUAAAUGCUCGUCUCGAACUUGAGAUGCAUGGAGAAAAGAAAUAAAAGAAGGGGGUGGUUUCUACGAGGUUGCAACCUUAAACAAUCCAAUUAAGGUGCAUCUUUAAAUUUUA
Molecule: long non-coding RNA, 213 nt
Filed under: Amborella trichopoda
Lineage: Eukaryota; Viridiplantae; Streptophyta; Magnoliopsida; Amborellales; Amborellaceae
Description: long non-coding RNA (ATRI_LNC002729)
Source: RNAcentral